GGCACAUAGAGCCUCCUCCGUCCACAUAUAGAGGGAGUGCAAUACUGGAGGGCAGGAAUCAGCCUGAUGGCCUCAGACCUUCACAAUGUAAAGGCCACAUCUGUGUUUUUUGCAUUUGGGAUGGUACCUGAACCUGAGGUGCCAUUUCUUUUAUAGAAGUAGUGACCAGAGAGCAAACCUCUUUCACUCUUAGUAACAGCUUCAAUUACUAAAGCAAAGCUGCCCUAGGUGAGCUCUUUCCCCUGGCUGCUGCUUGCUAGGGCUGUACCCUGCAGGAGGUGGCUUCUGUCUUCCCGUGCUCUCAGCAUGGUGGCCCUUACUCGCAGGAAUAGUUACAAGGAGGAUAAGGCUGUGCACCCAAAGAUGGAGGAGGCUGCUAAAUCAUCCAUCAUUUCCUGGAGACCUUCAGGCUGGAGGGAUGCGGAAUAAUUUCUUUUUGUGGUCUAAACAUAGAAUCAAAAGCUGUGCAAGGAGUUGCCUUUUUGUUGUUAAAAACAGGUAAAUAGAGAGACAGCUAGAUAUGAAAAUACCUAUAUAUACAGAUAAAAAUAUACAUCUUUAUCUUCAGCUACAUAUGGAUAUAGAUCCAAAUGUAAUUUUUCUCAUGGCUGCCAUUAAGAAGAGCCUCAGCCAGGGCUUGGGGGGUCCUCACCAUUCUGUUUUUCAAAUCCGUGUAUAAAUAAACUAACCAGCCAAUCACCCCAAGAUCAAACAACCUGGUGAAAACAGCUACCUCAUGGAUGCCUGCCCCGUGCAGAUCCCCUGUACAACUGUGAACCGGAUCAAAGGCUGGAGUUACCAGAUCCCUUAUUGUAAGUGACACUUGCAAAUGUUAACCCUGCUUCGUGUUUCCAACCCAUACCUGAAUAAAUGCAUAAUCAUAUCACACAGCAUAAUUAAUAAGAGUAUCACCAUGAAGGACUCUUAAAGGAAAGGCUGUUGAAAGAGAGUUCCUGAAGAUAAUCCUUUUAAAAGGUUUCCUUAAAAUGCAACCACUAGCGGGAAUAAGGUAGGUUUAGUUCCAAUGUCUCAAUACCUCUGGUUAGCACAGUUUUAGAUCUUGUAAAUGUCUUUCCUUUAAUAGUGGCUUGACUUUUGAUUUGGGACUUGCACUUUUUUGGAGGAUCUCAUUGCUGCUGUGGUUCUCAAUGGAGAAGGUCCCCAGAGGAGGCCCAGCCUGGCUCCCCUUUCCAUUGACCCAUCGGGGACUCACAACCUCGUUUCUGCUGGAAAUCAAACAUGACUGCGUCUUGCCUGCUUGUAAUAACCUGUCUAACUUCACCAUUCUGGAGCAAGAACUGAUGUCCCGCACUUUUAUUUAAUUUGAGUAAUUUUCAGGGUGCUGCUUAAUUUGUCUUUUUUCCUUAUCCUGGAUGGCACCCCAACUCCUGGGCCACGGAAACGGGGCUCGGCUUCUCCCAAGCUCUUUGCUUAGUGGUGUUGCUUGAGUCCUCCAUUGUGCUUAGAAAAGUCCUGCGUGGCAUCCACUGCCAGAGUCGGUCCUCAGUUUUGUCUUGAGGAUAUGCAAGCGCUGGACAACCCCACACUGUGUAUAUUCACCCUGAUGCAGCGACAUAGUCUGACUUGAGGUCUUCUGGCUCCCUCAGUGUGAGCGUUUCCAGAGGUGACUCUUUUCACCUAUAAAGCAGAGAUGGAACGAAGUGGGAGGAAGCUCCCCCUUCUGCAAGCUGGUGUAUUUGACAGCAGAGAUGGAGCCUGAGGUUGCAAAAGUCCUUUAAGGAGUAUGGAUUUCCAGAUGUCAUUUACUGUAUUAAAAGCUGGACACCCAAUCCAACUCCGAAAUGCUUGAACCUGGGAGUUGCUGGCAUCAAACCACUGUGAGUCAGCCAUGUGGGACAAAUGGCACUUGGUGUCCCAAGGAGCUCCUGAGGGAUUGUACUGUGACGAUGGAUGUGCACAGGCAUGUUGAAGAGACGCAGAAGUUAGA
This is a long non-coding RNA of Pezoporus flaviventris, 1948 nucleotides long. RefSeq lists it as uncharacterized. The record is from RefSeq and is a predicted model, not a curated record. Lineage: Eukaryota; Metazoa; Chordata; Aves; Psittaciformes; Psittacidae. The transcript is spliced from 3 exons.